This 253-nucleotide ribosomal RNA is filed under the name uncultured bacterium. RNAcentral's name for it is "partial 16S ribosomal RNA". It matches the Rfam family "Bacterial small subunit ribosomal RNA", at positions 524 to 776 of the family's 1533-position model. The record is from RNAcentral.
UACAGAGGUCCCGAGCGUUGUUCGGAUUCACUGGGCGUAAAGGGUGCGUAGGUGGUGAGGUAAGUCGGAUGUGAAAUCUCCGGGCUCAACCCGGAAAUGGCAUUGGAAACUACCUUGCUUGAGGAUUUGAGGGGGGAUUGGAAUACUUGGUGUAGCAGUGAAAUGCGUAGAUAUCAUUUGGAACGCCAAUGGUGAAAACAGGUAGCUGGGAGUGUGCUGACACUGAGACACGAAAGCCAGGGGAGCAAACGGG